This 407-nucleotide ribosomal RNA is filed under the name uncultured bacterium. Its description in RNAcentral is "partial 16S ribosomal RNA". It matches the Rfam family "Bacterial small subunit ribosomal RNA", at positions 28 to 526 of the family's 1533-position model. The record is from RNAcentral.
GACGAACGCUGGCGGCGUGCCUAAUACAUGCAAGUAGGACGCAGGUGCGAGCGGGUGAGUAGCGCCUUGGUAACUGCCUAUUAGAGGGGGAUAACUAUUGGAAACGAUAGCUAAUACCGCAUACUAGUAGAUGGACCUGCGUUGGAUUAGCUAGUAGGUAGGGUAAUGGCCUACCAAGGCGACGAUACAUAGCCGACCUGGGAGGGUGAUCGGCCAAACUGGGACUGAGACACGGCCCAGACUCCUACGGGAGGCAGCAGUAGGGAAUCUUCGGAAAUGGGGGGAACCCUGACCGAGCAACGCCGCGGGAGUGAAGAAGGUUUUCGGAUCGUAAAGCUCUGUUGUUAAGGAAGCGGUACCUAACCAGAAAGGGACGGCUAACUACGUGCCAGCAGCCGCGGUAAUAC